This 877-nucleotide ribosomal RNA is filed under the name Escherichia coli. Its description in RNAcentral is "partial 23S ribosomal RNA". It matches the Rfam family "Bacterial large subunit ribosomal RNA", at positions 1 to 920 of the family's 2925-position model. RNAcentral also lists the same sequence under 1 other name. Lineage: Bacteria; Pseudomonadati; Pseudomonadota; Gammaproteobacteria; Enterobacterales; Enterobacteriaceae. The record is from RNAcentral.
GGUUAAGCGACUAAGCGUACACGGUGGAUGCCCUGGCAGUCAGAGGCGAUGAAGGACGUGCUAAUCUGCGAUAAGCGUCGGUAAGGUGAUAUGAACCGUUAUAACCGGCGAUUUCCGAAUGGGGAAACCCAGUGUGAUUCGUCACACUAUCAUUAACUGAAUCCAUAGGUUAAUGAGGCGAACCGGGGGAACUGAAACAUCUAAGUACCCCGAGGAAAAGAAAUCAACCGAGAUUCCCCCAGUAGCGGCGAGCGGACGGGGAGCAGCCCAGAGCCUGAAUCAGUGUGUGUGUUAGUGGAAGCGUCUGGAAAGGCGUGCGAUACAGGGUGACAGCCCCGUACACAAAAAUGCACAUAUUGUGAGCUUGAUGAGUAGGGCGGGACACGUGGUAUCCUGUCUGAAUAUGGGGGGACCAUCCUCCAAGGCUAAAUACUCCUGACUGACCGAUAGUGAACCAGUACCGUGAGGGAAAGGCGAAAAGAACCCCGGCGAGGGGAGUGAAAAAGAACCUGAAACCGUGUACGUACAAGCAGUGGGAGCACGCUUAGGCGUGUGACUGCGUACCUUUUGUAUAAUGGGUCAGCGACUUAUAUUCUGUAGCAAGGUUAACCGAAUAGGGGAGCCGAAGGGAAACCGAGUCUUAACUGGGCGUUAAGUUGCAGGGUAUAGACCCGAAACCCGGUGAUCUAGCCAUGGGCAGGUUGAAGGUUGGGUAACACUAACUGGAGGACCGAACCGACUAAUGUUGAAAAAUUAGCGGAUGACUUGUGGCUGGGGGUGAAAGGCCAAUCAAACCGGGAGAUAGCUGGUUCUCCCCGAAAGCUAUUUAGGUAGCGCCUCGUGAAUUCAUCUCCGGGGGUAGAGCACUGUUUCGGCA